Molecule: ribosomal RNA, 571 nt
Filed under: Galerucella calmariensis
Lineage: Eukaryota; Metazoa; Arthropoda; Insecta; Coleoptera; Chrysomelidae
Description: eukaryotic LSU rRNA
Rfam family: Eukaryotic large subunit ribosomal RNA
Source: RNAcentral
CCUAAGUGGGUGGUAAACUCCAUCUAAGGCUAAAUAUGACCACGAGACCGAUAGCGAACAAGUACCGUGAGGGAAAGUUGAAAAGCACUUUGAAGAGAGAGUUCAAGAGUACGUGAAACCGUUCAGGGGUAAACCUGAGAAACCCGAAAGGUCGAAAGAGGAAAUUCAUUCGCGUUUCGAUCGCUGAAGUUGGAUGUUUGUAUGACGGAUGAUGUGUUUCGGCGCAUGAGUCCGCGUCUUAUGUUCAUCGAGUCGGUGUCGAACGCGUGCACUUUUCCUCUAGUAGGACGUCGUGAUCCGUUGGGUGUCUGUCUAAGACUCGGGGUGGAGACCACGUGAUUAUUUGAUCAUGUGGACCCUCGAUGUUCCGACAGACUCGCUCGACGGUAUAAUUAUGGCGCGAGGCCGCUACUUAAGUUAGCGUUCGGCCCGUAGCAAGCACGUUCCGUGUUUGAUGGCGAUCGGACCUAGUGCCGAUUCUGUCCCGGAACGACUGUUGGUUACGGUGUUCUCGAACAGACCUCGUUUGAAACGCCGAUCAACGACGCUAUAGAUUUGGGUACUUUCAGGA